This 497-nucleotide ribosomal RNA is filed under the name uncultured bacterium. Its description in RNAcentral is "partial 16S ribosomal RNA". It matches the Rfam family "Bacterial small subunit ribosomal RNA", at positions 28 to 507 of the family's 1533-position model. The record is from RNAcentral.
GAUGAACGCUGGCGGUGUGCCUAAUACAUGCAAGUCGAGCGAACAGACGAGGAGCUUACUCCUCUGACGUUAGCGGCGGACGGGUGAGUAACACGUGGAUAACCUACCUAUAAGACUGGGAUAACUUCGGGAAACCGGAGCUAAUACCGGAUAACAUGUUGAACCGCAUGGUUCAACAGUGAAAGACGGUCUUGCUGUCACUUAUAGAUGGGUCCGCGUCGCAUUAGCUAGUUGGCAAGGUAACGGCUUACCAGGGCAACGAUGCGUAGCCGACCUGAGAGGGUGAUCGGCCACACUGGAACUGAGACACGGUCCAGACUCCUACGGGAGGCAGCAGUAGGGAAUCUUCCGCAAUGGGCGAAAGCCUGACGGAGCAACGCCGCGUGAGUGAAGAAGGUCUUCGGAUCGUAAAACUCUGUUAUUAGGGAAGAACAAAUGUGUAAGUAACUAUGCACGUCUUGACGGUACCUAAUCAGAAAGCCACGGCUAACUACGUG